Molecule: ribosomal RNA, 651 nt
Filed under: uncultured bacterium
Lineage: Bacteria
Description: bacterial SSU rRNA
Rfam family: Bacterial small subunit ribosomal RNA
Source: RNAcentral
GUAACGCGUGAGGAACCUGCCUUUCAGAGGGGGACAACAGUUGGAAACGACUGCUAAUACCGCAUGACACAUUUGGGCGGCAUCGCUUGAAUGUCAAAGAUUUAUCGCUGAAAGAUGGCCUCGCGUCUGAUUAGCUGGUUGGUGAGGUAACGGCCCACCAAGGCGACGAUCAGUAGCCGGACUGAGAGGUUGACCGGCCACAUUGGGACUGAGAUACGGCCCAGACUCCUACGGGAGGCAGCAGUGGGGAAUAUUGCACAAUGGACCAAAAGUCUGAUCCAGCAAUUCUGUGUGCACGAUGAAGUUUUUCGGAAUGUAAAGUGCUUUCAGUUGGGAAGAAGAAAGUGACGGUACCAACAGAAGAAGCGACGGCUAAAUACGUGCCAGCAGCCGCGGUAAUACGUAUGUCGCAAGCGUUAUCCGGAUUUAUUGGGCGUAAAGCGCGUCUAGGCGGUUUGGUAAGUCUGAUGUGAAAAUGCGGGGCUCAACUCCGUAUUGCGUUGGAAACUGCCAAACUAGAGUACUGGAGAGGUAGGCGGAACUACAAGUGUAGAGGUGAAAUUCGUAGAUAUUUGUAGGAAUGCCGAUGGGGAAGCCAGCCUACUGGACAGAUACUGACGCUAAAGCGCGAAAGCGUGGGUAGCAAACAGG